Molecule: ribosomal RNA, 301 nt
Filed under: uncultured bacterium
Lineage: Bacteria
Description: partial 16S ribosomal RNA
Rfam family: Bacterial small subunit ribosomal RNA
Source: RNAcentral
CAGCCGCCGCGGUAAAACGUAGGCGGCAAGCGUUGUCCGGAAUUAUUGGGCGUAAAGGGCUCGCAGGCGGUUUCUUAAGUCUGAUGUGAAAGCCCCCGGCUCAACCGGGGAGGGUCAUUGGAAACUGGGAAACUUGAGUGCAGAAGAGGAGAGUGGAAUUCCACGUGUAGCGGUGAAAUGCGUAGAGAUGUGGAGGAACACCAGUGGCGAAGGCGACUCUCUGGUCUGUAACUGACGCUGAGGAGCGAAAGCGUGGGGAGCGAACAGGAUUAGAUACCCCUGUAGUCCCUGUCUCUUAUAA